Molecule: ribosomal RNA, 464 nt
Filed under: uncultured bacterium
Lineage: Bacteria
Description: partial 16S ribosomal RNA
Rfam family: Bacterial small subunit ribosomal RNA
Source: RNAcentral
ACGAACGCUGGCGGCGUGCUUAACACAUGCAAGUCGAACGGAAAGGCCCCCUUGUGGGGUACUCGAGUGGCGAACGGGUGCGUAACACGUGAGUAACCUACCCUUGACUUUGGGAUAACUUCAGGAAACUGGGGCUAAUACCGGAUAGGAGCUCCUGCUGCAUGGUGGGGGUUGGAAAGUUUCGGCGGUUGGGGAUGGACUCGCGGCUUAUCAGCUUGUUGGUGGGGUAGUGGCUCACCAAGGCUUUGACGGGUAGCCGGCCUGAGAGGGUGACCGGCCACAUUGGGACUGAGAUACGGCCCAGACUCCUACGGGAGGCAGCAGUGGGGAAUAUUGCACAAUGGGCGGAAGCCUGAUGCAGCAACGCCGCGUGCGGGAUGACGGCCUUCGGGUUGUAAACCGCUUUCGCCUGUGACGAAGCGUGAGUGACGGUAAUGGGUAAAGAAGCACCGGCUAACUACGUG